GGCUGGUCUGAGUGCCAUUGCAUUUACAACUAAUCGAUCAUAACCAAUUACAGAUUUCUUUGUUCAUUCUCCAUUCCCACUGCUUCACUCGACUAGCCUUAA
Molecule: unclassified non-coding RNA, 102 nt
Organism: Gorilla gorilla gorilla (western lowland gorilla)
Lineage: Eukaryota; Metazoa; Chordata; Mammalia; Primates; Hominidae
Rfam family: Y RNA
About the family: Y RNAs are components of the Ro ribonucleoprotein particle (Ro RNP), in association with Ro60 and La proteins.
Source: Ensembl